RNAcentral lists this ribosomal RNA (512 nucleotides) under uncultured bacterium. RNAcentral describes it as "partial 16S ribosomal RNA". It matches the Rfam family "Bacterial small subunit ribosomal RNA", at positions 28 to 507 of the family's 1533-position model. The record is from RNAcentral.
GAUGAACGCUGGCGGCGUGCCUAAUACAUGCAAGUCGAACGAAACUUCUUUAUCACCGAGUGCUUGCACUCACCGAUAAAGAGUUGAGUGGCGAACGGGUGAGUAACACGUGGGCAACCUGCCCAAAAGAGGGGGAUAACACUUGGAAACAGGUGCUAAUACCGCAUAACCAUAGUUACCGCAUGGUAACUAUGUAAAAGGUGGCUAUACUACCGCUUUUGGAUGGGCCCGCGGCGCAUUAGCUAGUUGGUUGGGUAAAGGCUUACCAAGGCAAUGAUGCGUAGCCGAAUUGAGAGGUUGAUCGGCCACAUUGGGACUGAGACACGGCCCAAACUCCUACGGGAGGCAGCAGUAGGGAAUCUUCCACAAUGGGCGAAAGCCUGAUGGAGCAACGCCGCGUGGGUGAAGAAGGUCUUCGGAUCGUAAAACCCUGUUGUUAGAGAAGAAAGUGCGUGAGAGUAACUGUUCACGUUUCGACGGUAUCUAACCAGAAAGCCACGGCUAACUACGUG